This 263-nucleotide ribosomal RNA is filed under the name uncultured bacterium. RNAcentral describes it as "partial 16S ribosomal RNA". It matches the Rfam family "Bacterial small subunit ribosomal RNA", at positions 793 to 1055 of the family's 1533-position model. The record is from RNAcentral.
GUCCACGCCCUAAACGAUGCAUAUUUGGUGUAGGUCAUUCAGUUGAUCUGUGCCGGAGCUAACGCGUUAAAUAUGCCGCCUGGGGAGUACAGUCGCAAGGCCGAAACUCAAAGGAAUUGACGGGGCCCGCACAAGCGGUGGAGCAUGUGGUUCAAUUCGACGCAACGCGAAGAACCUUACCUGGGCUCGAACGGCUUCUUAACGGAGGUGGAAACACCUCUAUCCCGCAAGGGAGUGGAGUCGAGGUGCUGCAUGGCUGUCGU